UAAUACGUAGGGUGCAAGCGUUAAUCGGAAUUACUGGGCGUAAAGCGUGCGCAGGCGGUGAUGUAAGACAGAUGUGAAAUCCCCGGGCUCAACCUGGGAACUGCAUUUGUGACUGCAUCGCUGGAGUGCGGCAGAGGGGGAUGGAAUUCCGCGUGUAGCAGUGAAAUGCGUAGAUAUGCGGAGGAACACCGAUGGCGAAGGCAAUCCCCUGGGCCUGCACUGACGCUCAUGCACGAAAGCGUGGGGAGCAAACAGGAUUAGAUACCCUGGUAGUCCACGCCCUAAACGAUGUCAACUGGUUGUUGGUCCUUUGCUGGAUCAGUAACGAAGCUAACGCGUGAAGUUGACCGCCUGGGGAGUACGGCCGCAAGGCUA
This 375-nucleotide ribosomal RNA is filed under the name uncultured bacterium. RNAcentral's name for it is "bacterial SSU rRNA". It matches the Rfam family "Bacterial small subunit ribosomal RNA", at positions 521 to 896 of the family's 1533-position model. The record is from RNAcentral.